GAAAAAGCAAAAAAGAAGAAGAAAACACCAUCACUACACAUCACACUUUUCUCACAUAAGGGCCUCUGCUUUUUCUUCUUCAUCUUUGAUGAGCUCUUUGAUUUUGACUUAGCUUCACUCUUCUCAGAUCAGUUCAUUUUACCAGCAUGUUUUGGUUGAUGAAAAGCAAGAUGGAGUAAAACUUACAGAUUGAAAGUUAUAGAUUACACAGAACGAUAGUCUGUCGUGCCGUGUUAGCUGUCCUGAUAUUCUUGUAGUUGUAGCUUUGGAGUCAACCAUGUGAUGAAGAUUGUACCCAGGCCUUCUUAAUAUACCUGCUUAUUCUAAACAUCGCCAG
Molecule: non-coding RNA, 337 nt
Organism: Nicotiana tabacum (common tobacco)
Lineage: Eukaryota; Viridiplantae; Streptophyta; Magnoliopsida; Solanales; Solanaceae
Source: RefSeq, a predicted model, not a curated record